UACGGAGGGUGCAAGCGUUAUCCGGAAUCACUGGGUUUAAAGGGUGCGUAGGCGGUUUGAUAAGUCAGUCGUGAAAUUCCCCGGCUUAACCGGCGGGACUGCGAUUGAUACUGUUGAACUUGAAUCAGGUUGAGGUAGGCGGAAUGUGACAUGUAGCGGUGAAAUGCUUAGAUAUGUCAUAGAACACCGAUUGCGAAGGCAGCUUGCUGGACCUGUAUUGACGCUGAGGCACGAAAGCGUGGGGAGCAAACAGG
RNAcentral lists this ribosomal RNA (254 nucleotides) under uncultured bacterium. RNAcentral describes it as "partial 16S ribosomal RNA". It matches the Rfam family "Bacterial small subunit ribosomal RNA", at positions 524 to 776 of the family's 1533-position model. The record is from RNAcentral.